This 1395-nucleotide long non-coding RNA is filed under the name Cricetulus griseus (Chinese hamster). RNAcentral describes it as "lncRNA (ENSCGRG00015034221.1)". The record is from RNAcentral. Lineage: Eukaryota; Metazoa; Chordata; Mammalia; Rodentia; Cricetidae.
GGGUGCUGUUUCCCUGAUUUCUUUGUCACCUGUUUGUCAUUUGUAUAUAGGAUGGCUAAUGACUUUUUAUUUAAUCAUGUAUCCAGCUACAUCACUGAAGGUGUUUAUUAGCUUUAGGAGCUCCCAGCUAGAAUUUUUGGGGUCACUUAAAUAUACAAUCACAUCAUCUAUAAAAAGCAAAAUUUCAACUUCUUCCUUUCCAAUUUGUAUCCCCUUGAUCUACUUUUGCUGUCUUAUUGCUCUAGCUAAAAUGUUGAGUAACAUAUUGAAUAGUUAUGGAGAGAGUAGACAGCCUUGUCUUGUUCCUGAUUCUUUUGAGUUUGUUUUGAGUUUCUCUCCUUUUAAAUUGAUGCUGGCUGUGGGCUUUGUUGUGUAUUUCUUUUACUAUGUUUAGUAGUUCUACUAUAAUAAGUUUCUUAUAUCUCUGAUUUCUCCAACACCUUUAUCACGAAGGGGUGCUUGAUUUUGUCUAAGGUUUUUAUCAGCAUCUAAUGAAAUGAUCAUGUGUUUUUUUCUGUUUUCUUUCAGUUUGUUUAUAUGGUGGAUUACAUUGACAGAUUUUCAUAUGUUGAACCAUCUCUGCAUCUCAGGGAUGAAGCCUACUUGAUCAUGUUCGGCUGCAGUGAACAUCUGGGUAUCCUGUAAUUGCUCUUUGUUCUGACCGUCCUUCCUGGAGAGAACCAGAUGCACCGGUGAGGACCAGUGAACACUGGUGACAGCGACCUAAGGAAAGAAUGGCUUCUUUUGGCUCACAGUUUGGGAACACUGUCUCUGUCAUGGUGGGGAAGACAUGGGAGCCAGAGCUGGUCCAAUGGUGUCUGAAUCUGGAAGCAGAGAAGGGUGAAAGUUGGUCCUUAUUUUGUUUUCUUGCUUCUUUCUAUUCACCCAGGACUCCAGCUCAUAACAACCACAGUGAAUGGAUCUCCUUAUUUCCAGUAAUCUAAACUAGGUAAUCCCUGGUGGGCAUGCCCAGAGCUUUGUCUCCUGCAUUGAUCUAGUUUCCAUCCAGUCCACAAUGAAGCUUACCAUCAGGAUAGUGUUCCAUACAUUUUAAAAUUCAGGUGCUAGCUCUCAGAUGAUUUGUUGGUCCAAGUCUUGUAUGUACUCACUAGGUACUCAAAACGGAACCAGCCAAUCUUGUCCUGCUUCAAUACAGCCUUUGUCUUGUUUACUGUUUAAAAGGGGACAAUGUUGGUAUGAAGCCCUGUAAUCCAUGUUUCUAUUUUUUUUCUGAAUCCUAGAUUAUUAUAUUAAGUUGUGUCUUACCUGUAUCCUCUCAUGUCUCAAAGGGACCUCAAGUUCAAAAAUUUAAAUUAGCCAAAAGUAAACCAAAAAAGUAAAUAAAUGUACUGUAUACUUUUGGAUGUAUUUCCAAAUAAAUAUGUUAUUUUUUAA